This 405-nucleotide ribosomal RNA is filed under the name uncultured bacterium. Its description in RNAcentral is "partial 16S ribosomal RNA". It matches the Rfam family "Bacterial small subunit ribosomal RNA", at positions 29 to 526 of the family's 1533-position model. The record is from RNAcentral.
AUUGAACGCUGGCGGCAGGCCUAACACAUGCAAGUCGAACGAGUGGCGGACGGGUGAGUAAUGUCUGGAAACUGGCCGAAGGGGGGGGAUAACUAACGGAAACGGUUACCAAUACCGCAUACCAUCAGAUGUGCCCCGAUGGGAUUAGCUAGUUGGUGGGGGAACGGCUCACCAAGGCGACGAUCCCUAGCUGGUCCGGGAGGAUGACCAGCCACACUGGAACUGAGACACGGUCCAGACUCCUACGGGAGGCAGCAGUGGGGAAUAUUGCACAAUGGGCGCAAGCCUGAUGCAGCCAUGCCGCGUGUAUGAAGAAGGCCUUCGGGUUGUAAAGUACUUUCAGCGGGGAGGCGUUACCCGCAGAAGAAGCACCGGCUAACUCCGUGCCAGCCGCCGCGGUAAUAC